This is a long non-coding RNA of Oncorhynchus tshawytscha (Chinook salmon), 1804 nucleotides long. NCBI's taxonomy places the organism in Eukaryota, Metazoa, Chordata, Actinopteri, Salmoniformes, Salmonidae. The record is from Ensembl.
CUCUCUCUGUCCUCACCUCUCUCUCUCUGUCCUCCUCACCUCUCUCUCUCUGUCCUCACCUCUCUCUCUCUGUCCUCACCUCUCUCUCUCUCUGUCCUCACCUCUCUCUCUCUGUCCUCACCUCUCUCUGUCUCUGUCCUCACCUCUCUCUGUCCUCACCUCUCUCUCUCUCUGUCCUCACCUCUCUCUGUCUCUGUCCUCACCUCUCUCUGUCUCUGUCCUCACCUCUCUCUGUCUCUGUCCUCACCUCUCUCUCUGUCCUCACCUCUCUCUGUCUCUGUCCUCACCUCUCUGUCUCUCUGAUAAUGUAUGUAGUCUUUCUCUUCUGAAACUAAUAUCUGAAGCUCAUCUAGUCAGUGGUAUAAUAAAGGAACAAAUCAAAUAUGACAGGAAUCAAUGGAAUCUAAGACAAGACCAUGACCAUCCUUUCUCAUAUUUAAAUAAGCUAGUUUGCAUGUUAAAGUCGUUAUUUCCAGUUACAGCAGUAACUGUUCUGGGGUCAUAUUGUGGUGAUUGGACAUGGUUCAUACUGCCUGCUUGGUUGACAGGGGCUGUGAGAGUUAAUGGAGAGAUGAGUGAAGGAAGAUGUAGGACGGAGCACAGAAAAGCACCUCUAACAGGUUCCAGGGUUCUAGUGAGAGUGUCAAGAGAGACACAGAGCUCAUUUUAAAGUAUAGAUGGGCCGUCUUAUGUUGCCACGGCUUGGUAGUGUUUUUCACUAAAGCUUUUUGAGUUGAUGAUUGAGAACACGGGAGAAAGGAAGUACCUUUUUUUAUUAGGUUUUACACUUCUGAUAUCUUCUCACCAAUCAGACUGGCUGAGGGGAAACAGUAUGGAACUACAACAGAACACUUACAUCCAGUGUGGAACUACAAUUCCCAAUAUUCACAGCUCCAGAGACCGAUUACCACCAUCACUCUCUCAAGGUGUCCCGUGUCACAACUGUUGACAUAAUGGGUCUCUCCCAACAACUCCAUUAAUUAACCACAAUGCCUUGCAUCACACUCCAGGAGGAACUAGUGUGAAUAGAACGUAAGAUUACAAAUGUAGUUCCAUUGCCAAAUAUUAACUAGCAGUCCCAUUCUGAUCUUUUGACCAAUUAGUGGCAAAAGAUCUGACCUGAUUGGUCAAAAGAUCAGUUAGUGUCAAAACCCCCAGAAUGAGUCUGCCUGUAUAAACACAGCCUAUGAGCGAGUAGAGAGACCCUCUGACUGGGUGUGUCCUAAACAGCACUCUUUUUCCUAUAUAGUGCACUACUUUUGACAAAAGCCCUAUAGGUGUGUAUCUGUGGGUGCUGAGGUGUAGACAGGGCUGUUAUCUGUAGUUAUCUGUAGAGGGGGACUCUACAUUAGAUGGGCAUCCAUUUUGUUUCUGGUGCUAGUUUCAGUAAAGUUCGGUUUAAUCACAAAACCAUUUCCUCAAUUCCUCGUUUCCUUUCCUUGGUUCUUCUCUAAUUCUUUGCCCGCUUCUGUCAGAUGUUUUGAGGAGGAGAGAGAGAGAGAGGACAUAGGGGAGGGAAUCAGGAAAAUACCUUUUGAGAUCCACCCUUUCAGAGUGUCUUUCAGAACCCUGUGGGCCGGGAGUGGAGAGGUGGUGGUAGUCAGUUCUUCAGGGUAUGUGCAUGUGAUGUGCAUGUGAUGUAACAUGUGAUGUAACAUCCACCCAAUCAGUGACUUCCUAUGUAACGCCCUUUGACGCCAUCUUUGAACUUCUUUACUUCAUCAAUUAAUGAUCUUCUUUCUGUCUGACUUCUUUAAAGUCAUUUUAAGGUUAUAUUGAAUAAAUAUCUUGUUCUUCUCUUGUC